UACGGAGGGUGCAAGCGUUAUCCGGAUUUACUGGGUUUAAAGGGUGCGUAGGUGGGCAGGUAAGUCAGUGGUGAAAUCUCCGGGCUUAACUCGGAAACUGCCAUUGAUACUAUCUGUCUUGAAUAUCCUGGAGGUAAGCGGAAUAUGUCAUGUAGCGGUGAAAUGCUUAGAUAUGACAUAGAACACCCAUUGCGAAGGCAGCUUACUACGGGAUUAUUGACACUGAGGCACGAAAGCGUGGGGAGCAAAACGG
This 253-nucleotide ribosomal RNA is filed under the name uncultured bacterium. RNAcentral describes it as "partial 16S ribosomal RNA". It matches the Rfam family "Bacterial small subunit ribosomal RNA", at positions 524 to 776 of the family's 1533-position model. The record is from RNAcentral.